Molecule: long non-coding RNA, 1396 nt
Filed under: Crocodylus porosus (Australian saltwater crocodile)
Lineage: Eukaryota; Metazoa; Chordata; Crocodylia; Crocodylidae
Description: lncRNA (ENSCPRG00005005346.1)
Source: RNAcentral
CCUACAAAUCCUCUCUCUGGCCAGUCUGCCAAUAUCCUUUGCUGGGUCAGAGAUCUGAAGACCCAGUGGGGCCACCAGCUGCCCCUGCUUGGGGAAGUCAGAGGAGUUCCAAUGCAAGGAAGAUAAGAGGGCAACCUAUCAAAGUAUCCACCUCAUCUUCCCAGCCUCCCUUGGGCAGAAGUCUUUCUUUGAGUCUUGCUGCAACAUGCACUGGAGGAGAGAGCUAAAAGCCUAAUUCUCUAAAAGAUUCCAGAGGAAAGAGACCAGGCAGAGCUCUCCAAGAAGGCCACCUUCGCCAGUACCUUGUGAGGGACGCCAGCACGUGGCUCUUGGCUGGGCAGGGAGGGGAAGAAGUGGAUGGAGCUGGAAUAGGGUACUCUGAUGGUGAGCUGCCUUCGGUGCAUGUGGAGAAAUCACAUAGCCUUCAGCCUCAGAGCAUUUCAGUGCUGAUUGGCUAAACAGGAUUCAUUUUUGAGCAUGGACAAAAUCAAAAGGAUGUGGAGAAGGAAGGCUUCCUAGAUGGCUCCACUACCAAAUGAAGGCACCCCUGCCUUCCCCUACUACAGAGCAGCCCCUCUCCCACUGCUGGAAGGAAAGACUCUUGCCUGAGGCAAGAACUGGAGGUCUCUGCCUUUCUGGAAAGGAAGGAGAUCAUGUCCCAGAGCUCACACUGAAGGCAAUAGGAACACAUCUUGGAUAAAGUGCACGUGGUACAGGACUCCACCACAGAACUGUCACUGGGAUCCUGAAAAUUUGAAAAAUAAGCAAAUCAGCUUAAUAAUAUGGCUUUCCCUUGGUGCCUCAUCUCCUGAAGGUCUCUCCCCACCUUCUUCCUGUCUGAAGAAACUGAAACUGGAAGGCUUCAUAACCCUGCCGUUCUCAUACAGCCAUUUUUACCUUCCUACCAGCAGGCAGUACAGUGACUGCUUGAAGUUUAAAACACUUUGUCAUUGUCCCUUAAAAAUGGAAAUAGUACUGCUGCUUAGUUGCUGGGCAUUCCAUAAUUUAUGGCCGCUGAGAAUGCAAAAUGAUUGGUAUGUCUGGGUGACAGUCAGGAGCUAUGGAAAGGAUGAAGUAUUCCACAUAUUUCCUCUCCCCAUAAAGUUGGAAAAUAAAUUCAUUACUAGUUUCAGCCUGUGAACAUGGCCGUUAUCAGUGGAUUGAGCUAUUUUUAAAAGAUUUAUGGCUGAUGUCAGUGACCUGGUUUUCCCUAAUUUGGCAAGACCCUCCUAGAAAACAUGUUGUUACUAGGAAAGUCAAAGCAAGAUUAUCACUUGACAAAUUGAGGCUAAAUCCUCUGCUGCAAAUCAGUAAGGUUCCUUUGAACUCAAUGGAUCUGAUUUACACCAGCUGAGGGCUUGGUUGGACAGGAAAUAAAAAUACAAAAAUGGAGGCA